RNAcentral lists this non-coding RNA (24 nucleotides) under Arabidopsis thaliana (thale cress). Lineage: Eukaryota; Viridiplantae; Streptophyta; Magnoliopsida; Brassicales; Brassicaceae. The record is from RNAcentral.
UAUAGUCAUCAUGGAGUUCUUGAA